Molecule: ribosomal RNA, 618 nt
Filed under: Triticum aestivum (bread wheat)
Lineage: Eukaryota; Viridiplantae; Streptophyta; Magnoliopsida; Poales; Poaceae
Description: partial small subunit ribosomal RNA
Source: RNAcentral
AUGUGUGUAGGUCUCACGCACCCGGAUGCGGCGGACAAAGCUACGGCCGAUGUGGCACUCUCACACAUGGCCGCACACUCACCCAUGGACGCACAUAGCAAGGAGGAGGCAUCGAGCCUGCUGGGAGGCCGAUCGCCAUCUACUUCGUCAAGCCGGCGCCAUAGAGGACGGAGGCGUGGAGCUCGCCCAGAUGAUGCCCUCAACUUUGUCAUCAAGCCGACGCCAUGGAGGAUGGUGGCGUGGAGCUCGCCAAGACGACGCCUAAUGUCAACAUCAUCAACCAGGUGCCGCAAGGAUCGUGACGUGGAGCUCGCGAGGAUGCCGCCGAUGUGCUGCGGUGGAUCGCGGCACGGAGUUCGCCAAGAUGACGCCAGUGUCAACCUCAUCAAGCCGGCGCCAUGGAGGAUGAAGGCGUGGAGGCUCGGGAGGAUGCCGCCGCCGUACCACGGUGGAUGGCGCCACGGAGUUCGCCAAGAUGACACCAAUGUCAACAUCAUCAACCUGGUGCCGCAAGGAUCAUGCCUGGGAGCUCACAAGAAGGACACUAGUGUAACGCCCUGGAUACAACUUUCCAUAUUCGUAGCUGCAACUCUUGCCUUUUCCGGAGAUGCUAUAUGA